AGCACUGAGCUUAAUAUAAAUUGAAUUACACUGACUUAUUUAGGUUCAUAAAUAUAUUAUUUAAAUCUAAUAAAUCAAGUACCACUAAUAAACUAGAAUUUUUAGUUAAUAAAAUAAUACCAUUUUAAAAAUGUGUUUAAAAAGUUAUUAAAAAUCUUAAAUUGAUAUUUAAAGUUAAAAUACUUAACCACGUUAUUUAGGUAUUUAAUUUACGCUCGAGUGUUUUCAACGAUUAUUUUUCGGGACACCAGUGCUGUAACUGCUCAAAACAUGGACAAAACAGAAGACGGAGUACAAAAGAGGGGAAUCAAUGAGAUUCUGCUCGAGGAGCUGGGCCAAUUCGGGAAGUACCAGCUUCGGGUGCUUCUGCUGUCAGCUAUAGCUGUCAUCUGGGCUGGCAUCGCCGCUAGUGACUUCGUGUUUACCACUGCAAGGAUUAACACUAGAUGCCUGAUCCCUGAAUGCGAGACAUCGCCUCUGGACUUCUCACCCGAUUGGUUAGCCAACGCUAUACCUUCGACCGAUGGGUCCUUCGACCAGUGUUCACGUUUCAACGCCUCCACUCCCAUGCUGCGAACCUGCCCCGCUGAUAUCUUCGAUAGAAACAACGUGGUGCCGUGUGAAGAGUAUGUUUAUGAGCAUCAGAACACUGUUGUCUAUGAUUUCGGGCUGGCAUGUCAGGAAUGGCUACGCUCGUUGAUUGGCUCCGUGCACAUCUUCGGAACACUCACCGCCAUGCCCAUUGCAGGAUUCGUGUCAGACCGCUGGGGGCGGAGCCCGGCGCUGGCCGCCGCCGCGUUCAUCCGCGGCUGCUUCGGACUGGUUCGCUCCUGGACUAACACUUACGUCGGCUUCACUAUCCUCCACUUCUUGCAGGCCAACUUCGGCUUUGGGGCGUUCUCUUGCGCUUACAUUUUAAUUAUGGAAAUGAUGGGUCCAAAGUACCGCGUGGCAUGCGGCGCCACUCUCGACAUGUUCUUCGCAAUCGGCAAGAUAAGCGCUGGCCUCAUCGCGUGGGGCGUCCCGCAUUGGCGCUGGUUCCACCGAGCCAUAUACGGCCCUAUGCUGCUGGCUGUCGUCUACUUCUGGCUCAUGCCUGAAUCCAUCCGAUGGUACAUGAGUAAAGGGAGGUUCGAAGAAUCCGAAGCUGUCCUUGAGAAAGCUGUACGUGUUAAUGGGAAGACGUUGUCUGAUCAGACUAGGAUGGAAUUAAGGAAAUCCGCUGAAGAAGAAAAGAAAAACAAUGAAUUCGCCGCAGCACAGAAGACAUCCGAACCGUGGCUAGUCGUCCAAGUGUUCCAACACAAGUCUAUCCUCCUUCGCUGCAUGGUAUCUCCCGUCUGGUGGAUAACCACGACCUUCAUCUACUACGGGUUGGCUGUGAACGCCGUGAUCAUGUCCGGGAACAUGUAUCUGAACUACGUGGCGGUGGCAGCGAUGGAGAUCCCUGGGUACUGGACGGCGGUGUUGGUGCUGAACAGGAUUGGGAGGAAACCGGUGUUGGUCGGCGGAUUCUGGCUCUGCGCGGCGUGCCAGCUCGCUUACAUCUUCAUUCCAGAUGGUUACGACGGGUUCUCACUAGCGGUGUACCUGAUCGGCAACUACUGCAUCGCGAUAGUGAUGACAACAUUGUACGUCUACACUUCAGAGCUGUUCCCGACUAAGCAUCGGCACAGUCUGUUCGCGUUUGCGUUCAUGCUCGGCAGGCUGGGGUCUAUCCUGUCGCCACUUACUCCGGCCAUGGGAGCAUCAAGUGGCUGGGCGGAGCUGCCGUUUGCUCUGUUCGGGGGCUUCGCUCUGCUGUCCGGGGGGCUCGCCUUCAUCACGCCCGAGACCCUGGGCUCCAAGCUACCUGACACCAUGGAGGAGGCCGCCAACAUUGGGAAGAAAUGAUCUUAAUUAAUGGUCUUAAUUGUUUACUGGUUUAAAAUAUUUACGAUAUUACAAAGUAUAUUAUGUGUGUAACUUAAGGCCACUGGCACGUUCCAGGCUUCCAGGGCUAGCCAACUUACCCAGAAAUAAACUAACGAAGGCUAACCCUGAAACAUGCAAGUGGUCACCCUUUACUGUAUACGAAGCCAUAUAUGGCCAAUGAGAUAUUGAACUGUAUAUGUACCUAUAAUUAGAGAACAAUUAAAGUUUAUGUCAACAAAUAUUUUUAAUAAAUGCGAAGGGCUAAGAUUGCUAAUAAAAUUUAACUUAAUCGUAUACCUACACCUAAUAAAGUUUUUCAAGCCAUCGUUUCGAGGACGGCGUCGUCCUUGAGAGAAAAAAAUAGAUAAACAAAAGUAAAAAAUAAUUCAUAAAAUAAUUUGACAUCAUGUUCCUUAUUAUCCUCUAUUUUUUUUCUAAUUUAACCUGUAAAAGACGUGUUAUUACCGUAUAUCUACUUACUACUAUAUAUGUAAAUUGGUAAGCUAGUGCAAAAGCAAAUUCACUCCAACGAUGUGUCACUUUAAAAGCGUACAAGUGUAGCGAAACAAGAUAACGGAUCGGAAGAAAGCUGUGUAAACUCGCAU
RNAcentral lists this unclassified non-coding RNA (2519 nucleotides) under Leguminivora glycinivorella. Its description in RNAcentral is "organic cation transporter protein-like, transcript variant X2". The record is from RNAcentral. Lineage: Eukaryota; Metazoa; Arthropoda; Insecta; Lepidoptera; Tortricidae.